RNAcentral lists this ribosomal RNA (258 nucleotides) under uncultured bacterium. RNAcentral's name for it is "partial 16S ribosomal RNA". The record is from RNAcentral.
CUGCUGCCUUCCGUAGGAGUUUGGGCCGUGUCUCAGUCCCAAUGUGGCCGUCCACCCUCUCAGGCCGGCUACUGAUCGCUGUCUUGGUGGGCCGUUACCCCGCCAACUAGCUAAUCAGACGCGGGUCCAUCUCAUACCACCGGAGUUUUUCACACAAAACCAUGCGGUUCCGUGCGCUUAUGCGGUAUUAGCAGUCAUUUCUGGCUGUUAUCCCCCUGUAUGAGGCAGGUUACCCACGCGUUACUCACCCGUCCGCCA